CCAUUGCUCAGUUGGUAAAGCACAAGGCUCUUGACCUUGUGGACGCGGGUUUAAGCCCCAUGAUGGG
Molecule: non-coding RNA, 67 nt
Organism: Triticum urartu
Lineage: Eukaryota; Viridiplantae; Streptophyta; Magnoliopsida; Poales; Poaceae
Source: Rfam